Long non-coding RNA from Bombus huntii, 972 nucleotides. RefSeq lists it as uncharacterized. NCBI's taxonomy places the organism in Eukaryota, Metazoa, Arthropoda, Insecta, Hymenoptera, Apidae. The record is from RefSeq and is a predicted model, not a curated record. The transcript has 2 exons.
AAACGAAUCUUCGUUUGGAUUACACGUCGUCGUUAUGCAAUAGAGAAGACUUCGACUAAUGCAAAUACGAUUAUCAUAGAACCGGACAAGUAACCGUGGUAGUUAGGUACUCGAGAAACUAAUGACAAUGAUCCUAGGUUCAAUAAUGAAUCCGCGGACAACGGGACGGUAGUCGUACGCACUCGCAAAAAUCUAAAUCGGAUUCUGUGUUAAUAUUCGCUGACCGUAAGGAGUUAAUCCUUUUUUUUGUCGAUGAGACCGCAAGAGAGAGUGACUUUCCGUCCCUGUGAUACCCCAGAGGAAAACUAUGACGGGGUGUGUCUAAGGACACGAGAUCAUUGGAUUCGUCGGGUACAUCCUACGUUCGGAAAGUAAGGGAAAUUGACGUUGCUGCUAAUUGGCCAAUCUCCAUAUCGGUAGUUAGAAAAGGAUGCUAGCUGCCCUUGAGGGAGGGUUGCUAGUGGGAGACGUCGUUCGUGGAAAAAUAGGUCUCUCCUGUCUUCCCGUAACUGGGACAAAGACUGUGUAUCUGUUGAAGGAUUUUAAGUAACUAGAUAUUAGUGUUUAUGACGGUCCUCGGGCUAGCCGAUCACGUACUGUGGAGACGCGUCGACAUCUGGUAAACAUCCUGCCCGGAGAAUAGGAUCUGCGUGUGGCAAGCUACGGGACAGAAACCGUUAGAAUGUUUACUGCCACGUGCCGCUACAAAUCUUUCUUUUAAGGAGAGCUAUAGGAUUACUCAAUGCCUUUGUUAGAUGGAGAGUUCGUCCCGUUGACCGCGGCCACGUUCGGCGACUAAUUGUCGCCUUGAGCCCAAGCUCAUUGUCACAAGUCUCAAACAAAUACAAUUGGUUAGAAUGACGGCAAAUCGUUUAGUUACAACUGUAGAUUUUAAUUACAAUGUUUUUAUGGAUUUUCCCGAGGUUUCAGAGGGAAGGCACCGGUGUCCUCUUAUCUCCGACAUAUACAAUA